RNAcentral lists this non-coding RNA (32 nucleotides) under Rattus norvegicus (Norway rat). Lineage: Eukaryota; Metazoa; Chordata; Mammalia; Rodentia; Muridae. The record is from RNAcentral.
UGAAGAGAUUCCACUCAAUCAGCUUUAAAAAG